UACGUAGGUGGCAAGCGUUGUCCGGAUUUACUGGGCGUAAAGAGCGCGCAGGCGGUUGCGCAAGUCGCGUGUGAAAGCCCCCGGCUCAACUGGGGAGGGUCGUGCGAUACGGGCGGACUGGAGGCCAGUAGGGGGAUGCGGAAUUCCGGGUGUAGUGGUGGAAUGCGUAGAGAUCCGGAGGAACACCAGCGGCGAAGGCGGCAUCCUGGACUGGUCCUGACACUCAGGAGCGAAAGCGUGGGGAGCGAUCCGG
RNAcentral lists this ribosomal RNA (253 nucleotides) under uncultured bacterium. RNAcentral describes it as "partial 16S ribosomal RNA". It matches the Rfam family "Bacterial small subunit ribosomal RNA", at positions 524 to 776 of the family's 1533-position model. The record is from RNAcentral.